CUCCUUCGGGAGUGAGUAGAGUGGCGCACGGGUGAGUAAUGCUUGAGUAACAUACCGCUUCGCUGGGGAUAACCAAGAGAAAUCUUGGCUAAUACCGAAUGUUCCUUUUUUAUCCUCGGAUUGGAAAGGAAAAGCCGUAAGGCGCGAAGUGAUUGGCUCAAGUCUCAUUAGCUUGUUGGUGAGGUAACGGCUCACCAAGGCUACGAUGGGUAAGCUGGUCUGAGAGGAUGAUCAGCCACACUGGUGCUGGAACACGGACCAGACUCCUACGGGAGGCAGCAGUUAGGAAUUUUGCGCAAUGGGGGAAACCCUGACGCAGCAACGCCGCGUGAGUGAGGAAGGCCUUCGGGUUGUAAAGCUCUUUCGACAGGGAAGACAAAAGGACGGUACCUGUAUAAGAAGCACCGGCUAACUCCGUGCCAGCAGCCGCGGUAAUACGGAGGGUGCAAGCGUUAUUCGGAAUAACUGG
Molecule: ribosomal RNA, 469 nt
Filed under: uncultured bacterium
Lineage: Bacteria
Description: bacterial SSU rRNA
Rfam family: Bacterial small subunit ribosomal RNA
Source: RNAcentral